Molecule: transfer RNA, 77 nt
Filed under: Succinatimonas sp.
Lineage: Bacteria; Pseudomonadati; Pseudomonadota; Gammaproteobacteria; Aeromonadales; Succinivibrionaceae
Description: tRNA-Pro
Rfam family: tRNA
About the family: Transfer RNA (tRNA) molecules are approximately 80 nucleotides in length.
Source: RNAcentral
CGGUGAUUAGCGCAGUCUGGUAGCGCAUCUGCUUUGGGAGCAGAGGGUCGCAGGUUCGAAUCCUGCAUCACCGACCA